This 1679-nucleotide ribosomal RNA is filed under the name Knodus borki. RNAcentral's name for it is "16S ribosomal RNA". It matches the Rfam family "Bacterial large subunit ribosomal RNA". Lineage: Eukaryota; Metazoa; Chordata; Actinopteri; Characiformes; Stevardiidae. The record is from RNAcentral.
GCUAAACAGCUAGCUCAACCACCAAAAUAAACACAACAACAUUAACUAGUUUAACUAACCCCAAACCCAAAAACUAAACCAUUCUCCUGCCUUAGUACGGGCGACAGAAAAGGCACUUAGAAGCAAUAGAAAUAGUACCGCAAGGGAAAGCUGAAAGAGAAAUGAAACAACCCAUUUAAGCCCUAAAAAGCAGAGACUAACCCUCGUACCUUUUGCAUCAUGAUUUAGCUAGAACCUUUGGGCAAAGAGAACUUUAGUUCAAACCCCCGAAACCAAGUGAGCUACCCCGGGACAGCCUAUUUCAGGGCCAACCCGUCUCUGUGGCAAAAGAGUGGGAAGAUCCCCGGGUAGAGGUGACAGACCUACCGAACUUGGUGAUAGCUGGUUGUCUAGGAAAUGGAUAGAAGUUCAGCCUCGUUUUCCUCCACCCAGAAAAGCACUGCUGCCCUACGGUAAUAGAGAAAUAUACGAGAGUUAGUCAAAGGGGGUACAGCCCCUUUGAAACAGGACACAACCUGAAUCAGGAGGUUAAGGAUCACAUUAAAUAAGAUACACCGCUCCAGUGGGCCUAAAAGCAGCCACCUGCACAGAAAGCGUUAAAGCUCAGGCGGAACAGAAAUCUAUUAUUCUGAUAUAUAAACCCUAAACCCCUAUUAAUACUAGACCACUCCAUGCCUACAUGGAAGAGAUACUACUAAAAUGAGUAAUAAGAAGGCAACCCCUUCUCCUGGCCCACGUGUAUGUUAGAUCGGACUAACCACUAAUGAUUAACGAACCCAACCCAAGAGGGAAAAGUGACCAAACAACAAAACCAAGAAAACCCCACAAAUUACUAAUCGUUAUACCCACACUGGAGGGCAUUAAAGGAAAGACUAAAAGAAAAGGAAGGAACUCGGCAAACACAAGCCUCGCCUGUUUACCAAAAACAUCGCCUCCUGCAAAAAUCAAUGUAUAAGAGGUCCUACCUGCCCAGUGACAUUAAGUUAAACGGCCGCGGUAUUUUGACCGUGCUAAGGUAGCGCAAUCACUUGUCUUUUAAAUGAAGACCUGUAUGAAUGGUGGAACGAGGGCUUAACUGUCUCCCUUUUCAGGUCAAUGAAAUUGAUCUGCCCGUGCAGAAGCGGACAUAAUAAUACAAGACGAGAAGACCCUUUGGAGCUUAAGACACAAGGUCAACUAUGUCAAAAAUUCCUAUUAAUAGAAAUAAAACAAAAUAUUAACUGACCAAAGUCUUCGGUUGGGGCGACCGCGGGGGAAAACAAAGCCCCCAUGUGGAAUGGGGUAAAACCUAAAACCACGAGGGACACCUCUAAGUCACAGAACAUCUGACCAAAAGAUCCGGCACCUAAGCCGAUCAACGAACCAAGUUACCCUAGGGAUAACAGCGCAAUCCCCUCCAAGAGUCCAUAUCGACAAGGGGGUUUACGACCUCGAUGUUGGAUCAGGACAUCCUAAUGGUGCAGCCGCUAUUAAGGGUUCGUUUGUUCAACGAUUAAAGUCCUACGUGAUCUGAGUUCAGACCGGAGUAAUCCAGGUCAGUUUCUAUCUGUAAAGCUAUUUUUCCUAGUACGAAAGGACCGGAAAUAUGAAGCCUAUACCACAGGUACGCUUUAUUUUAACUUAAUGAAGACAACUAAAUUAAACAAAGAACAAGCACAAAAUUACCCGAGAUAAGGGAU